CACCUGCAGUCAGGGACAGACACACACACACACACACACACACACACACACACCAGGGCUCCAGUCACAGCCUUAUACAUUUUCCUCAUUGCUCACUGUCGCCCACCUUCUCCAGGGCCCUCUUCUCUCCCGGAAAGCAGACAGUAUAUUGGCCAGGGCCGUCUCAGUGGCCCCCCCAAGAGGUGGUGGAGACACUUUUGAGAUCCACCCCCACUGAGACAGGUGUGAGGCUGGCACGCCAGGAAAGAGAUGGAAGUGAGACUGCAGGAAGGACUGGCCCCCCUGACCCAGUACGCAGUGCCUGCUGCCCGGAGCAGGAAAGGCCCUCAGUCAUUACCAAAAAGAAUGAAUGAAUGAAGAGCUGGACAAACAGCAAGAGGCAGUGCCCCAGCCCUGCUGCUGUGAGCUCACAGCUGCCCCCUUCCCCUGGGAGUUGUCCUGAACCGCCUUGCAGAAUGGAGCUGGCACCUGCUGCCCAGAACUGCAGUGGCUGACUCCCCUCCAGCCCUGAGAGCCGGCGUUACCUGCAGGAUAUGCACGCCCUUCAGGGAGACCACAGCCAGCUCCUGCAGCCCGUCCCCGGUCAGGUCCAGGUCUCAGGAAGCCGAGGCACCAUCAUCUCAGAUUUGGACACGUUCAAAGACCCAGCAAGAGCUCAACCUAUCACUCAAGCCGUGCGCCUCUGGACCAUCUCACUCCCAAAUGGAAAGCCGCCGUGUCCCACUGGGGACUCAGACACACGCAUCCUCAAUCUAGACACCGAUACUGCCUUCAUGGAGCCCAAAGACGGCUUGGCCCUGGCUUGGACACCUUCCCCACCCCUACACGGGUGACAGAGCUGGCCACAGUCGGUUCCAAGCGCUGACUGGGCAAUGUUGCCAUGUCAUCAAUUCAUGGCUCGGAACCCACGGUGGUGGGAGAAUUUACACUUUGUAUACUCGGGUAAAUGCUUCACACCUGGGCUUUCCCUGUGCAGAGCCAGUGAUUAAACACUUGCCAGCACACCCACUAUAUCCCCUCCAGUGGGCGAGGGCAUCUCUGCUCCCAUCCCCCCCGCCUCAACGUAUUCCCAAGUCUACACUUCAGUAUUCACAGCCCCACCCCUGGGUCACAAGUAUCUUUUUUUUUUUUUUUAAAGACAGGGUUUCACCAUGUUGGUCAGGCUGGUCUUGAACUCCUGACCUCAGGUGAUCCACUCGCCUUGGCCUCCAAAGUGCUUGGAUUACAUGCAUGAGCCACUGCACCCAGCCACAAGUAUCUUUUUUUUUGACACAGUCUCACUCCGUUGCCCUAGCUGGACUGCAAUGGUGUAAUCUUGGCUCACUACAACCUCUGCCUCCCAGAUUCAAGUGAUUCUUCUGCCUCAGCCUCCCAAAUAGCUGGGAUUACAGGUGCCCACCACCAUGUCCAGCUAAUUUUUGUAUUUUUAAUUGAGACAGGAUUGC
Molecule: long non-coding RNA, 1445 nt
Organism: Callithrix jacchus (white-tufted-ear marmoset)
Lineage: Eukaryota; Metazoa; Chordata; Mammalia; Primates; Cebidae
Source: RefSeq, a predicted model, not a curated record